RNAcentral lists this RNase P RNA (415 nucleotides) under Desulfobulbaceae bacterium. Its description in RNAcentral is "Bacterial RNase P class A". It matches the Rfam family "Bacterial RNase P class A". Rfam says of the family: Ribonuclease P (RNase P) is a ubiquitous endoribonuclease, found in archaea, bacteria and eukarya as well as chloroplasts and mitochondria. Its best characterised activity is the generation of mature 5'-ends of tRNAs by cleaving the 5'-leader elements of precursor-tRNAs. Lineage: Bacteria; Pseudomonadati; Thermodesulfobacteriota; Desulfobulbia; Desulfobulbales; Desulfobulbaceae. The record is from Rfam by way of RNAcentral.
UGGGGAAAGCGGGCAGUCGCGUUGUGUAUAAUGUACGAUGAGGAAAGUCCGAACUCCUGGGAACAGGGCGCUUCGUAACACGAAGGCAGCGAUUUUUGAUUUAUCAGAGAAAGUUGACGGAAAGUGCCACAGAAAAUAACCGCCAAUCCGCUCUCGAAAGAGGGGUCAUGGAGGUAAGGGUGAAAAGAUAGAAUUAAGACACUAUCGGCAUAGCAGGUGACUGCAAUGCCGGGUAAACCCCGCUCGGAGCAAGGUCAAAUAGGGGUAUCGGGCGAGAGCCGUCGAAGUUCCCUCGGCAGUAAAAACGAUAUUCGGGUAGACCGCUUGAAACUAACGGUGACGUUAGUUCCAGAUAAAUGAUUGCCUCCGGUUUUAGAACCGAAGACAGAAUUCGGCUUACAGCUUUCUUCAUCAA